Molecule: ribosomal RNA, 865 nt
Filed under: uncultured Bacteroidota bacterium
Lineage: Bacteria; Pseudomonadati; Bacteroidota
Description: bacterial SSU rRNA
Rfam family: Bacterial small subunit ribosomal RNA
Source: RNAcentral
CAUGCAAGUCGAGGGGUAACAGGAAAGCUUGCUUUUGCUGACGACCGGCGCACGGGUGCGUAACGCGUAUGCAACCUACCUCAUACUGGAGGAUAGCCCCUGGAAACGGGGAUUAAUACUCCAUAGUAUCACGAAUUCGCAUGUUUUUGUGAUUAAAGUUUUUCGGUAUGAGAUGGGCAUGCGUCCCAUUAGCUUGUUGGUGAGGUAACGGCUCACCAAGGCAACGAUGGGUAGGGGGCCUGAGAGGGUGGUCCCCCACACUGGUACUGAGACACGGACCAGACUCCUACGGGAGGCAGCAGUGAGGAAUAUUGGUCAAUGGAGGCAACUCUGAACCAGCCAUGCCGCGUGAAGGAUGACGGCCCUAUGGGUUGUAAACUUCUUUUAUAGAGGAAGAAACUUAUCUACGUGUAGAUAACUGACGGUACUCUACGAAUAAGGAUCGGCUAACUCCGUGCCAGCAGCCGCGGUAAUACGGAGGAUCCAAGCGUUAUCCGGAUUCAUUGGGUUUAAAGGGUCCGUAGGCGGGUCUUUAAGUCAGUGGUGAAAGCCGACAGCUCAACUGUCGAACUGCCAUUGAUACUGGAGACCUUGAGUACAAAUGAAGUAGGCGGAAUGAGUCAUGUAGCGGUGAAAUGCAUAGAUAUGACUCAGAACACCGAUUGCGAAGGCAGCUUACUAACAUGUAACUGACGCUGAGGGACGAAAGCGUGGGGAGCGAACAGGAUUAGAUACCCUGGUAGUCCACGCCGUAAACGAUCAUCACUCGCUGUUGGCGAUAUACUGUCAGCGGCCAAGCGAAAGUAUUAAGUGAUGCACCUGGGGAGUACGCCGGCAACGGUGAAACUCAAAGGAAUUGACGGGG